This 449-nucleotide ribosomal RNA is filed under the name uncultured bacterium. RNAcentral describes it as "partial 16S ribosomal RNA". It matches the Rfam family "Bacterial small subunit ribosomal RNA", at positions 29 to 523 of the family's 1533-position model. The record is from RNAcentral.
AACGAACGCUGGCGGCAUGCCUAACACAUGAAAGUCGAACGAGAUCUUCGGGUCUAGUGGCGCACGGGUGCGUAACGCGUGGGAAUCUGCCCUUUGGUUCGGAAUCACAGUUGGAAACGACUGCUAAUACCGGAUGAUGACGAAAGUCCAAAGAUUUAUCGCCAGAGGAGGAGCCCGCGUAGGAUUAGCUAGUUGGUGUGGGAAAGGCGCACCAAGGCGACGAUCCUUAGCUGCUCUGAGAGGCUGAUCAGCCACACUGGGACUGAGACACGGCCCAGACUCAGACGGGAUGCAGAAGUGGGGAAUAUUGGACAGUGGCCGAAAGCCUGGUCCAUCAAAUCCGCGUGAGAGAUGAAGGCCUUAGGGUUGUCAAGAUCUUUUAGCCGGGAACAUGAUGACAGUACCGGGGGAAUAAGCUCCGGUUAACUCCGGGCCUCCCGCCGCAGUAA